CUGCGGUAGAAGUCGGUUAGAAGAUCGCGAGGCGCAGGGGUUAGGGGCGCCGUCGAGGAACUAAAAGCCAGCUAAGGUGGUCUUAGCACGAAGGGGCUGGGACGAAACAGAUUGAUCUAGCUCUUUAUGCCUAGCGGCGGCGAGGAGGGAAAGGGGAGGAAAGGCAUGCACGCGAAGGGGGGCUCAACUGGGACGGAGACCAGCGGCGGGCGCGAGGACAUUCGGCGGCGGCUGGAGUAGACGCCAGUCGGCGCGGGUUACGGGAGGAACGAAAAGAGAGGGAGAAAAGUGAUUAGAGAGAGGGAGAGAAACAAGGGUGUGACGGCCUGCGGUACCGGUCGCCUCCGGCCCCGUGCGUCGGCACUACCGGGGCUCGAGUCGCCGCACCUUCGGUCCGCGGCCGUUCCGGCCCCAGCUCCAGCCACUCGGACCGCCACCGCCAGCCCACGCGUAGUUCGUCGUACAGUAGGAGGCAGGUCGUCAUGUUGAACCUCUCCAGGUUGCUCCAUUCGCGCCCCGUCCAGACCUCGUCGCCGAGCUCUAGGUGCGGCGGCCUCUCUAGCUGCAACGCUUCGAAUGGGGCGGUCGUCCCACGCUCACGCUCCGACCGUACGCACCUCCCCAGCGCCGUCAUCUACCGCUCCAGCCUGUGCCGCCCCUUCAUCUACCGCUCCGCGCAGCGUUGUUCCGCAAGGCGAGCCGCUAAAGAAAGCCCACCUCGCCCUCCAACAACCUCCUCCUCCGCCCGCGGGGGCGCUAAGUGCUCCGGUUCCUCUUGUCGCCCACCGGGAUGUUGCUUUGGUCGCUCUCCAACUCGGCGAGCUCGUGGCCCUUCGUCUUCCAGCCGCUCUCGUCGUCCUUCGGUCCGCGGGAGCCAAGGGGCGCGUCGCGGUAGUGCUGGGCACAGCGGGCGAGGCGGCGGUCGUCGGACGCCGUGCGGUAGCUCCGGGACACGGCACUGGUCCACAGCGGGUCCUUCGGGUCCUACUAGGUGUGUUUGACUUAUCGUUCCUCGCCUGUUGGUCAUCCGCUGCACUGCCGCUUCCGUUGCUCUUGCCGCAACGUUAGCGUUGUACACCAUCUUACCUCUUUUCCUAUGAGUCCCGUACCUACUCCUCCGAUUCGUCGUUAAAACGUAGUGCACGUCUUAAUGUAUUGUCGUCUCCUAGGAGUGGGUACCACGAAAAUAACCAAUUGAUAAAUGAUAACGCUUACGUCUCACAAUUAAAAAGGUCUUAAACAAAUUGCUUUAAUGACACUUGUACUGGGAAAGGUACUGCUAAAAGUGUGCUGGAACACUAGUUACCAACGCCGGGUACACUUUGCUCCACUAGUUACCGACGAUAUAACAGCACAUCUUUAGCCCGUACUUAGGUAAAAACUUGUUCACUCAACAAUACGAAGACAUGAAAAAUUGAAGGUAGGGGGUUUUUAAACCAUCUACUGAUAACAUAACUGGUACAAUCAGUCCCAUUACACGUAUUCUGGAACGACUUCAGUUAUACUAUAUACGAGGUAUGUCAGUCAAUUGAACUAAGAAGUACUGAUAAGUUACCUGAGACGAAACGUUUGAUUUGUAAUAACAGACUAAGACAUCACAAAACAAAGUCCUCGAUGAACACCACCACGAUGCCAUUCAACUACACUUUAGGAGAUAAGCGAUGAUAUAUAAUUCUCAACUACACUUUAGGGUGUUAAAAACAAUACAUCCAUCAGUUUUAUAAAAGUCAGACGUAUGAACAUGUUCGUAAAAAAAUUGACUUUGAACAUAUUCCUAGUCUAGAUCCUAUAAAACUGAGAGAAGAGUUUUUUAUAUAACGUAUCGUUAUCAAUCAAACUGUAACGACAACAUGGUUAAACUCAUACUCUACUAUAAUCUCCGUGAUACUUCACAUUUAUACCUUCAUUAACAGGCGGGAGAAAAAAACAUAAGAAAAUCGAAUUCGAAUGUGACUGACGAGUUAUUUUAAAGAAGACUACAAAAAAUAAAAGAAAAGAGAUUACUACCAGACUACGUACUGGUUAAGUAAAGAGGGAAGAUAGACUAACGGCCAAACCACUGCUGAAAGACUAUUAAACAUACAGAAAAACCUGACCAGUAAUCAAAGACUUUAAUUCUAUGAGACUAAACCCUCCCUAUCUACCCAUGUAUGACAAAAGUGUAACGUCCUCUCUAUUAACACUAGUAAACGGAUAACACUUAUGACAAAGACACAUUAGUCUAAGAGUUUCCACACAACGGUUGCUUCCACUUCCGAUCUACAAGACGAGAACACAGACUUGUUAGACAUCAACGGUCGUACAAAAAAGAAUUGUCAAAAGUCAGAUGAACGGGUACUACAUAUAUGUUAAAUAUGUCAAGGUAAUUUGAACGAAGAUACAAGAAAACAACACUUUUAUGUAGCCAAGUACCAGUGACUUAUUUGAGUACAACUGAUAACAGCCGUCUCCACUUCUACAUUGCUUCUACCGCACUAUAUCUCCAUGUAUUUUUACCCUAGUUUAUUGUUCCCUUAAACACAACCACAACUACGAACGGACUUAACAUAAUACCACACGCGUAAGAGGCCCACACGUAACUCACAUGGAGUACAACUGAUAACAGCGGCCUCCACUUCUACAUCUACUUCUACAGCACUACAGCUCCAUGUACUUUUACCCUAGCUUCUUGUUCUCUUCUUAAUCACAACCACAACUACGAACGGACUUAACAUAAUACCACGCGCGUAAAAGACCCACACGUAACUCACAUGGAGUACAAGUGAUAACAGCCGCCUCCACUUCUACAUCUACUUCUACAGCACUAGAGCUCCAUGUACUUUUACCCUAGCUUCUUGUUCUCUUCUUAAACACAACCACAACUACGAACGGACCUAACAUAAUACCACGCACGUAAGAAGCCCAGACGUAACUCGCAUGUACUAACGAACUUUUAUGGUUAUAGAGCCGUUCAAACCCAAUAUAUAUUGAUCUUGCUGUACCUGUGACGAGGUAAACUGUUCAAAACUAAAAAAAAUCGAUCUUUGUUAUGGAUGUGCUCGCGAGUUCU
This 3049-nucleotide ribosomal RNA is filed under the name Triticum aestivum (bread wheat). RNAcentral's name for it is "partial small subunit ribosomal RNA". The record is from RNAcentral. Lineage: Eukaryota; Viridiplantae; Streptophyta; Magnoliopsida; Poales; Poaceae.